RNAcentral lists this ribosomal RNA (254 nucleotides) under uncultured bacterium. RNAcentral's name for it is "partial 16S ribosomal RNA". It matches the Rfam family "Bacterial small subunit ribosomal RNA", at positions 524 to 776 of the family's 1533-position model. The record is from RNAcentral.
UACGGGGGGAGCAAGCGUUGUUCGGAUUUACUGGGCGUAAAGGGCGCGUAGGCGGCCACUGCAAGUCGGUUGUGAAAUCUCCGGGCUUAACCCGGAAAGGUCAAUCGAUACUGCAGGGCUAGAGUGCAGAAGGGGCAACUGGAAUUCUCGGUGUAGCGGUGAAAUGCGUAGAUAUCGAGAGGAACACCUGCGGCGAAGGCGGGUUGCUGGGCUGACACUGACGCUGAGACGCGAAAGCGUGGGGAGCGAACAGG